CCUUGUUAAUCCUUUUAGUAGGCAUAUGCUUGUCUCAAAGAUUAAGCCAUGCAUGUCAAAGUAUGAACUAAUUUAGACUGUGAAACUACGGCUGGUGCAUUAAAUCACUUAUAGUUUUUUUUAUGGUACCAUACUACUCAGAUAACCAUAGUAAUUCUAGAGCUAAUACGUGCACCAAGUCCUAACUCUUUGGAAGGGAUGCAUUUUUUAGAUAAAAAGCAAGCAUGGGCUUGUUGUCUUCUCCGGUGAAUCAUGAUAACUCGACAGAUCGCACAUUCCUUAUGCUGGCGAUGCUUCAUUAAAAUUUCUGCCCUAUCAACUUUCGAUGGUAGGAUAGAGGCCUACCAUAGUUUUGAUGGGUGAAAGAGAAUUAGUGUACGAUUCCAGAGAGGGAGCCUGAGCAAUGGCUACCACAUCCAAGGAAGCCAGCAGGCACACAAAUUACCCAAUCCUAACAUGGGUAGGUAUUGACAAUAAAUAAUAAUACUGGGUUCAUCGAGUCUAGUAAUUUGAAUGAGUGCAAUCUAAAUCCCUUAAUGAGGAUCCAUUGAAGGGAAAGUCUGGUGCCAAAAGCCGCAGUAUUUCUAGCUCCAAUAGCAUAUAUUUAAGUUAUUGCAGUUAAAAUGCUCGUAGUGUGAUCUUGGGUUGUAAAGGUCGGUUCGCCUACUCAGUGUGCACCUGCCCUUUUGUCCCUUUUGUAGGUGGCAUGCUCCUAGCUUUAAUUGGUUGGGUUGGGCUCCAGCAUGGUUUCUUUGAAGAACUGAAGUGCUCAAAGCAAGCUUAUUCUCUGAAUACAUUAGCAUGGAAUAACAUGAUAGGAAUUUGGUCCUCUUGUGUUGGCCUCCAGGACCGAAGUAAUGAUUAAUAUGGACCGUCAGGGGCAUUCGUAUUACAUUGUCAGAGGUGAAAUUCUUGGAUUUAUGAAAGAUGGGCCACUGUGAAAGAAUUUUCCAAGGAUGUUUUCAUUAAUAAAUAAUGAAAGUUGGGGACUCGAAGAGGAUCAGAUACCAUCCUAGUCUCAACCAUAAAUGAUGUCGACCAGGGAUCGAUGGAUGUUGUUAUAAGGACUCUGCCAGUACCUUGUAAGAAAUCAAAGUGUUUGGGUUCCAGGGGCGGUAUGGUUGCAAGGUUGAAACUUAAAGGAAUUGACAGAAUGGAACCACCAGGAGUGGUGCUUGCAGCUUAAUUUGAUUCAACAUGGAGAAACUUACUAGGUCUCGACAUAGUAAGGAUUGACAUAUUGAGAGCUCUUUCUUGAUUCUAUGGGUGGUGGUGCAUGGCAAUUCUUAGAUGGUGGAGCAAUUUGUCUAGUUAACUCUGAUAACGAAUGAGACCUCAGCCUACAAACUAGCUAUGCCAAGGUUCCCCUUCCUGGCCAACUUCUUAGAGGGACUAUGGCCGUUUAGGCCAUGGAAGUUUGAGGCAAUAACUGGUUUGUGGUGCCCUUAGAUGUUCUGGGCCACAUGCAUGUUACACUGAUGCAACUAAUGUGUUUUUCUUCACAGUUCGAGAGGAUCAGAAAAUAUUCUCAAAUUGCAUUAUGAUGGUUAUAGACCAUUGCAAUUAUUGGUAUUCAACAAGGAAUUCCUAGUAAGCGCAUGUCAUCAAAUCGUGUUGACUACAUCCUUGCCCUUUUUACACAUCGCCCAUCACUCCUACCGAUUGAAUGAUCCAGUGAAGUGUUCGGAUUGUGUCGAUGAUGGUGGUUCGUCGUCGUUGACAUCGUGAGAAGCUCAUUGAACCUUAUCAUUUAGAGGAAGGAGAAGUCGUAACAAGGUUACCGUAGGUGAAGCUACCGUAG
RNAcentral lists this ribosomal RNA (1801 nucleotides) under Pinus taeda (loblolly pine). Its description in RNAcentral is "SSU rRNA". It matches the Rfam family "Eukaryotic small subunit ribosomal RNA". Lineage: Eukaryota; Viridiplantae; Streptophyta; Pinopsida; Pinales; Pinaceae. The record is from RNAcentral.